RNAcentral lists this ribosomal RNA (433 nucleotides) under uncultured bacterium. RNAcentral describes it as "partial 16S ribosomal RNA". It matches the Rfam family "Bacterial small subunit ribosomal RNA", at positions 29 to 507 of the family's 1533-position model. The record is from RNAcentral.
AACGAACGCUGGCGGCAGGCCUAACACAUGCAAGUCGAGCGCGCCCUGCGGGUUCAGCGGCGGACGGGUGAGUAACGGGUGGGAACGGUCACUUCUCUGCGGAAUAGCCUUGGGAAAGGGAGAGUAAUACGGCACACGUCCUAUGGGGGAAAGUUUUAUCGGAGAAGGAUCGGCCCGCGUUGGAUUAGGUAGUGGGUGGGGUAAUGGCCCACCAAGCCGACGAUCCAUAGCUGGUUCGGGAGCAGGAUCAGCCACACUGGGACUGGGACACGGCCCAGACUCCUACGGAAGGCAGCAGUGGGGAAUCUUAGACAAUGGGGGCAACCCUGAUCUAGCCAUGCCGCGUGAGUGAUGAAGGCCUUAGGAUUGUAAAGCUCUUUCAGCUGGGAAGAUAAUGACGGUACCAGCAGAAGAAGCCCCGGCUAACUCCGUG